AUCUCCAGCAGUGGCAGGGGGAGGAGAAGCAAGCAUCUUUGUGAUCAUAUGUGAGCAGCAUAUCUUUGUGAUCUGCUUUACAGGUCUGAAGAGCAGCUGGAGAGAGUAACUUGGAAGUCAGAAACAUCCCUUGACACUUCUGGAAUUCCAGAGUCCACAGCAAAGAUGUAAAGAACAAACCCAAGACAUGCCUACUAAGCCCAACCUGUACUUUCUAGCUGUCUCCAGAAAAACAGACAAACCUAAUGAGAGGAGACUGUCUCCAUCUCUGCUCACCCCUCAAAAGAACACCUUGAGUUCAGUUCCCUAAUGAUUCUUGCUUUUUGUCUGAAUACAUAGAAAAGUAUCUUAACACGAAACUAUUGUUUGAAUCGUGGUUCCAGGGUAAAAGUCAUCCUGUGAUGGGUUAUAAGAAAUAAAUACCGUAUUCUGGGAAGAUUUUUCUGAGUG
RNAcentral lists this long non-coding RNA (450 nucleotides) under Cyanistes caeruleus (blue tit). Its description in RNAcentral is "lncRNA (ENSCCEG00000008679.1)". The record is from RNAcentral. Lineage: Eukaryota; Metazoa; Chordata; Aves; Passeriformes; Paridae.